RNAcentral lists this ribosomal RNA (450 nucleotides) under uncultured bacterium. RNAcentral's name for it is "partial 16S ribosomal RNA". It matches the Rfam family "Bacterial small subunit ribosomal RNA", at positions 331 to 793 of the family's 1533-position model. The record is from RNAcentral.
CCAGACUCCUACGGGAGGCAGCAGUGGGGAAUAUUGGGCAAUGGGCGCAAGCCUGACCCAGCAACGCCGCGUGAAGGAAGAAGGCUUUCGGGUUGUAAACUUCUUUUCUGAGGGACGAAGGAAGUGACGGUACCUCAGGAAUAAGCCACGACUAACUACGUGCCAGCAGCCGCGGUAAUACGUAGGGGGCAAGCGUUACCCGGAUUUACUGGGUGUAAAGGGAGCGCAGGUGGCAAGGCAAGCCAGAAGUGAAAACCCGGGGCUUAACCCCGCGGAUUGCUUUUGGAACUGUCUGGCUGGAGUGCAGGAGGGGCAGGCGGAAUUCCUGGUGUAGCGGUGAAAUGCGUAGAUAUCAGGAGGAACACCGGUGGCGAAGGCGGCCUGCUGGACUGUAACUGACACUGAGGCUCGAAAGCGUGGGGAGCGAACAGGAUUAGAUACCCCAGUACG